Molecule: ribosomal RNA, 116 nt
Filed under: Acanthosepion pharaonis
Lineage: Eukaryota; Metazoa; Mollusca; Cephalopoda; Sepiida; Sepiidae
Source: RNAcentral
UUACGGUCAAAUCACGCUUGAAAACACCGGUUCUCGUUCGAUCACCGAAGUUAAGCAUCGUAGAGCCAGGUCAGUACUUAGAUGGGGGACCGCUUGGGAACACCUGGUACUGUAAG